This 619-nucleotide ribosomal RNA is filed under the name Verrucomicrobiaceae bacterium So3Pw_1432. RNAcentral describes it as "bacterial SSU rRNA". It matches the Rfam family "Bacterial small subunit ribosomal RNA", at positions 395 to 1009 of the family's 1533-position model. The record is from RNAcentral. Lineage: Bacteria; Pseudomonadati; Verrucomicrobiota; Verrucomicrobiia; Verrucomicrobiales; Verrucomicrobiaceae.
CGCCGCGUGGAUGAUAAAGUCUUCCGAUUGUAAACUCCUGUCUUGCGAGAGUAAGGCCCCUCGUUUACUGCCUGUGGGAUUGACAGUACCCCAGGAGGAAGAGACGGCUAAAUCUGUGCCCCCACCCGCGGUAAUACACAGGUCUCAAGCGUUGUUCGGAAUUACUGGGCGUAAAGGGUGCGUACGCUGCGCAAAACGUCAGGUGUGAAAUCCCCGAGCUCAACUUCUGAAUUGCACCCUAUACUCCGGUGCUAGAGGACUGGACAGAAGCUUGGAAUUCUCGGUGUAGCACUGAAAUGCGUAUAGAUCGAGAGGAACACUAGUGGCGAAAGCUGGGCUCUGGACAGUAUCUGACGCUCAGGCACGAAAGUCAGGGGAGCAAACGGGAUUAGAUACCCCGGUGGUCCUGACAGUAAACGGUGCACGCUUGGUGUGGGAAGUGACCCUUUCCGUGCCGAAGCUAACGCGAUAAGCGUGCCGCCUGGGAAGUACGAUCGCAAGAUUAAAACUCAUAGAAAUUGACGGGGACCCGCACAAGCGGUGGAGUAUGUGGCUUAUUUCUAUGCAACGCCAAGAACCUUACCUGGCCUUGACGUGCAUUGUGUCGUUGGUGAAAGCC